This 1343-nucleotide ribosomal RNA is filed under the name uncultured bacterium. RNAcentral's name for it is "16S ribosomal RNA". It matches the Rfam family "Bacterial small subunit ribosomal RNA", at positions 28 to 1378 of the family's 1533-position model. The record is from RNAcentral.
GACGAACGUUGGCGGCGUGCUUAACUCAUGCAAGUCGAACGGAAAGGCCCUGCUUUUGUGGGGUGCUCGAGUGGCGAACGGGUGAGUAACACGUGAGUAACCUGCCCUUGACUUUGGGAUAACUUCAGGAAACUGGGGCUAAUACCGGAUAGGAGCUCCUGCUGCAUGGUGGGGGUUGGAAAGUUUCGGCGGUUGGGGAUGGACUCGCGGCUUAUCAGCUUGUUGGUGGGGUAGUGGCUUACCAAGGCUUUGACGGGUGGCCGGCCUGAGAGGGUGACCGGCCACAUUGGGACUGAGAUACGGCCCAGACUCCUACGGGAGGCAGCAGUGGGGAAUAUUGCACAAUGGGCGGAAGCCUGAUGCAGCAACGCCGCGUGCGGGAUGACGGCCUUCGGGUUGUAAACCGCUUUCGCCUGUGACGAAGCGUGAGUGACGGUAAUGGGUAAAGAAGCACCGGCUAACUACGUGCCAGCAGCCGCGGUGAUACGUAGGGUGCGAGCGUUGUCCGGAUUCAUUGGGCGUAAAGGGCUCGUAGGUGGUUGAUCGCGUCGGAAGUGUAAUCUUGGGGCUUAACCCUGAGCGUGCUUUCGAUACGGGUUGACUUGAGGAAGGUAGGGGAGAAUGGAAUUCCUGGUGGAGCGGUGGAAUGCGCAGAUAUCAGGAGGAACACCAGUGGCGAAGGCGGUUCUCUGGGCCUUUCCUGACGCUGAGGAGCGAAAGCGUGGGGAGCGAACAGGCUUAGAUACCCUGGUAGCCCACGCUGUAAACGGUGGGUACUAGGUGUGGGGUCCAUUCCACGGGUUCCGUGCCGUAGCUAACGCUUUAAGUACCCCGCCUGGGGAGUACGGCCGCAAGGCUAAAACUCAAAGGAAUUGGCGGGGCCCCGCACAAGCGGCGGAGCAUGCGGAUUAAUUCGAUGCAACGCGUAGAACCUUACCUGGGUUUGACAUGGAUCGGGAGCGCUCAGAGAUGGGUGUGCCUCUUUUGGGGUCGGUUCACAGGUGGUGCAUGCCUGUCGUCAGCUCGUGUCGUGAGAUGUUGGGUUAAGUCCCGCAACGAGCGCAACCCUUGUUCACUGUUGCCAGCACGUUAUGGUGGGGACUCAUAGGAGACCGCCGGGGUCAACUCGGAGGAAGGUGGGGAUGACGUCAAGUCCUCAUGCCCCUUAUGUCCAGGGCUUCACGCAUGCUACAAUGGCUGGUACAGAGAGUGGCGAGCCUGUGAGGGUGAGCGAAUCUCGGAAAGCCGGUCUCAGUUCGGAUUGGGGUCUGCAACUCGACCUCAUGAAGUCGGAGUCGCUAGUAAUCGCAGAUCAGCAACGCUGCGGUGAAUACGUUCCCGGG